This 1224-nucleotide long non-coding RNA is filed under the name Trifolium pratense (red clover). RNAcentral describes it as "long non-coding RNA (TPRA_LNC004192)". Lineage: Eukaryota; Viridiplantae; Streptophyta; Magnoliopsida; Fabales; Fabaceae. The record is from RNAcentral.
UCAAUUGAAGAAGUUGAAGGAUAUGCCUCACUGUCUGAAAAUAAGGAUAGUGAUUAUGUUGGGGAUGAGGAGAAUAAUUAGAUCUUUUUAUCUUUUAUCACUAAUUGGAACUACCGGUUAUUUGUUGUUUUGAACUAUUUAGAUUUUGAGUUUUAAGUCACUUUUAAUUUCUGUUUUAGGCUUUUUUGUUUUAAGUCACUAAUGUGUGUGCAUAAUUUUAACACUAGUUUCUUUUCACAAACUUCUCCUUACUAUUACUCUUAACUAUUUUAAAGUGGGUUGUUACGGUGAUAAUCAUAAGUAGAGAUAAUAAUUAUGUGCCUCAUAGUAGGUGAUAAGCAUAGUCGAAUCACUUUAGCCACCAGGAGCUUCGCUGCUCCUUUUAAUUUAUUUGUCUAUAACUAGUAGGUGAGAGUGAAUAUUUAUCUGUAAAUUCUCAAACACUUGUGAAUAUUGAUGAGUACUAUACAUGCCUAAUAUAUAUAUGUUCACACGUUAAACAUUGUCACCACGUGAAUUGGAUAGAAAUAUUCCAUGACACAUUUUAUUAUACUUAAUCACUUCUAUUUUUAAUAAUUAGCGUUAGUCUCUGGAUGCAUUAACAGCUGCUGUUUCUAUUCCAUACUCCAACUCUGCUUUUCUUCUAAUCAAGACAUUUGUUGUUGCAUAUAUAAGAGAGAGUACUCUUCAAGAAGGUAUGUUUCAUUGUUCAAUAGUCAUAGACAUGCAUAGAUGCAAGUGAAAUUUUAAAUAGUACUUCAGAAAACUAAUUGAUCUAUUUAAGUAUAUGAUUGUCAUAUGUUAGCCUAAACACCCAAUAUUUUUAUUUGAAACUAAAUGUGUUUGCCUAACCUCCCAAUCUGAAACUGAAACUAACCGUGUAUGGGGUGAUUAGGCAAUAGUCAAGGAAGCUCCGGUUAAUAUAAUUAUGUGAGUUGUGAGACUGUGAUGCUUAGGACUGUUCAUUCAAAACCUUGAACUGAACUGAUAAUUUAGGACUGUAAUGAUAANNNNNNNNNNNNNNNNNNNNNNNNNNNNNNNNNNNNNNUCUGUUAGUCACACGUUUGAAUGUCUAAUUCAUUGGAUAUUUUACAAAAAAAAAAAUGUAUUGACUUCUAGAUAGUUGAUCUGCUCAUUGUUUCUUUUCUUUUUACAUAGAAUUUUAAUUAUAUUACUUUUAUUUUGCAGAAGAUAAAUAAUGAUGAUAUCGAAGAAGAAAUGAAA